This 2123-nucleotide long non-coding RNA is filed under the name Dermacentor andersoni. RNAcentral describes it as "uncharacterized LOC126528437". Lineage: Eukaryota; Metazoa; Arthropoda; Arachnida; Ixodida; Ixodidae. The record is from RNAcentral.
CGCAACCACGCCAGAACGCCAACAUGGCGGCUGUGUCCAGUCGUCAUCGUUGAGCGUGAUAUUAGUGUGCGCUGCUGUCGGCCCACCGUUUACAAAAAUAUUGCAUCUGUGUGCGUGACAAGUUCUACUCGCCUGAGGCCAUUCGUGUUGAAGGGUUCUUACUGCGAAACAGUUGGCUACAAACGAAUGCUAACGUUGUGGUGCGACUAGUGUCUGCUUGGUCCAACGUUUAUAGUUCUGUAAACGUUGGCUUGGUCAGCGGGUCGCUGACGAAGUGUAUUCCUUCGGGACGUCCCAAGUGUCGUGCGAGUCGGACCAACCAGUGUUUGUUAUUACUACAUCGUGUUUCUUGUUACGUUGUGUUGGAAAUAGAGUAUCGCUGGAGACCAGUGAGGUCGGCGCGUAUCUCGUCCGAGUCCUGCAACGCGUCGGUCUCGGAUUCGGCAGAACGCAAGUUGGACCACAGUAAGAGGCCCCAAAACUUGCGAAGUUCUGUCUUUGGCCAGUUUUGAGUACAGUGUAGUUGACUUCUGAUAAAUCACUGGCUUCGAGCCGAUAACCUCGAAAUCUAUGACAUCACGCUUGCAAGGCUACGGUGCAAGUUGGCUCGAAAAAGUGGACAGUGCAUGUUCUGUGCAUAAUGUUUGCAGUAGCCCAUUUUGUUUGUCAACCUUGUGGCUGCGCUCGUGCUGCAAGACUCACCUCCUUGUGGACAUUGUGAUCUGCUGUACGAACGUUGUCGAGCAACAGCUUUGCCACGCUUCCGGAGAACCUUUCAACCGAGUUCAACCUAUCAAGCAAACUUUUCCUGCGUGUUGUGAUAAGACCAAGUUUUGCAGGCCUGCGUGUGUUCAUACAGUAUUUCUAUUCUCUUUGAUGUGCCUCUGUUAUUUAAUGGUUACUACACCUUGUUUCAUGCUUAGCAGGCAAUGUUGCGGAAGCUGUAAAAAUAUGGCGAAUCUUUCCAGAAGCUCAUGCAGGUUCCCUCAUAGCUUUUGGCUACUUCUAACAGAUAAGAAAUUUUCCCUUUCAUGGAAGUAGUACAGUCUCACUCUGUACAUAUUGUGGUGCAGUUGUAUUUGGUCUGCAAUGCUUUCUAUGGCAUAACAUUGUCGCACAUUACAACUACACUCAAAACAUUGAUGUGUGUAGCUUUUCGGACAUGCCUGAGCUUUUGGUGGGUAGCAUGUGCUUCCUGCACCAACAAUUUAGUAAAUAUUGACGUGUCUGCGGAGCGCAAGAGACGAGGACAGAAGAAAGGACACAAUACAGGCGCUUGUCUGUGUUGUCUUCUGGCUUUGUAUGGUUGUUACUACAUAUAGAGCUCCAUGGUUGUAUAUAUUUAUUAAUUCAUUGGUUUUAAAUUUCCUUGCAGCCCUCCUUUCUUCUGUCCUCAUCUUUUGCGCUCUGUAGACACGUUGAUAUUGCAUCACCAACUCGCCCAAGCUUCCACUUCAUCAAAAUAUGGCAAAGUGUUGUUGGUACUUUUUUUCUGUAGCCUUGCUGUAGCACUUCACAACUGCAGGCACUCAUAAUUAGUUUUACACCUUGUGCCCAUACUUCUUAUAGUGGUUCCAUAGUGCAGUGUGCUUGCCUGCAAAUUGUUCAUUGUGAUGUUUCUCACUUCUGUCUUUUUUUUUUUUUUUUUCUGACUGUGUUGCACUUAUAUGGACAGCUAACAGAAUUCUUUCCGUUGUACCUCUCUGAACUACAUCAUAUACAGUGAUGGUUUUUAUUCUGAACAAAGUGAAAAUGAAGAUCUUGUGCUUAAAGCUGCUCUACUUUUUUUGCUCAGAUUUCGCAAUAAGAUUUCAUUUCGUGGCCUGAAUCACCCAGUAAAAUAGUUAACAUUCCUGUUGGCCUGACUUGUCCUGACAUUUAAGUUGCCAGCAGUCGGGAAACCAGUCUUUGUCAUUGUACAAGCUGGUUCAGUUCGCCUGCAACUGUUGCUUUUGAAGGUUCUGCUUGAUGAAUCCGGGAAGCAUUGAUACUAAGGGUUUAGAAUUUAAUGAUCAGAAGGAAAGAAAGUGAUUGUGCAGCAAAAUUUGAGCAAUAACAAACUAGUGGUAAUUGCAAAAUCUUGUUUUGUAAGGUUGCCAGAAUAAAAAAUGUUGGUCACUGCA